This 157-nucleotide ribosomal RNA is filed under the name fungal endophyte sp. AP281. Its description in RNAcentral is "5.8S ribosomal RNA". It matches the Rfam family "5.8S ribosomal RNA". Rfam says of the family: 5.8S ribosomal RNA (5.8S rRNA) is a component of the large subunit of the eukaryotic ribosome. Lineage: Eukaryota; Fungi. The record is from RNAcentral. RNAcentral also lists the same sequence under 2 other names.
AAACUUUCAACAACGGAUCUCUUGGUUCUGGCAUCGAUGAAGAACGCAGCGAAAUGCGAUAAGUAAUGUGAAUUGCAGAAUUCAGUGAAUCAUCGAAUCUUUGAACGCACAUUGCGCCCCUUGGUAUUCCGGGGGGCAUGCCUGUGCGAGCGUCAUU